RNAcentral lists this ribosomal RNA (1390 nucleotides) under uncultured bacterium. Its description in RNAcentral is "partial 16S ribosomal RNA". The stretch from base 310 to 1390 matches the Rfam family "Bacterial small subunit ribosomal RNA", at positions 1 to 1375 of the family's 1533-position model. The record is from RNAcentral.
GAAAAGGGGGGGGGGGGGGAGGGGGGAUUUUUAAAACCGGCGGCGGGGGGGGGGGGAGACCUUUCUCCCCCCGGUGGGGGGGUAAAAAAAAAAAAAAAAAAAUCUCCACAGGAGAAAAAAUAUUUUAUAGUUUAAAAUUCUUUUUUUUUUUUUUCCCCCUUCGGGGGGGGAAAAAAGAUUUUUUUUUUCUUUUUUUGAGGGGGGGCCCCCCCUUUAAGAAUUUAAGCUUUGUUUGGUGAGAGGGUAAAGGGGUUCCCCCCAAGGGUUUUUGUUUCUGUAAGCUGGGUUUUAAGGGGGAUGAUUCAGGCCCCCAUUGGGGGAUUGAGGACCCCGGGCCCAGGACUUCUUCCGGGGAGGGCAGGCAGUGGGGGGAUUUUUUGGACAAAGGGGGGGAAACCCUUGUUCCCAGCAAUUUCCGGGUGAUUGAAGGAAGGCCUUUAGGGGUUUUUAAAAUUCUUUUUAGUUAAGGAAGAAUGAUGGCCGGUAUUUACAGAAAAAAGCUCCGGGCUAACUCCGUGCCCAGCAGCCGCGGGUAAUCCGGAGGGGGGCAAGCGUUGUUCCGGAUUUCUGGGGCGUAAAGAGCGAGCAGGUGGUUCAUUAAGUCGAUUGUGAAAGCUCAAGGCUCAACCUUGAAAUUGCUUUUGAUACUGAUGGACUAGAGUUUGGGAGAGGAUAGUGGAAUUCUAAGUGUAGAAGUGAAAUUCGUAGAUAUUUAGAGGAACACCAAUAGCGAAGGCAGCUAUCUGGCCCUUUACUGACACUCAGAAGCGAAAGCUUGGGUAGCAAACAGGAUUAGAUACCCUGGUAGUCCAUGCUGUAAACGAUGAGUGCUAGAUGUUAGAAGUUUACUUCUAGUAUCGAAGCUAACGCGUUAAGCACUCCGCCUGGGGAGUACGGCCGCAAGGCUAAAACUCAAAUGAAUUGACGGGGACCCGCACAAGCAGUGGAGCAUGUGGUUUAAUUCGACGCUACGCGAAAAACCUUACCAGCUUUUGACACGCUAAGUUUUGAGUUUAAGAGAUUAAAUUCUUCAGUUUGGCUGGGCUUAGUACAGGUGCUGCAUGGCUGUCGUCAGCUCGUGUCGUGAGAUGUUCGGUUAAGUCCGGCAACGAGCGCAACCCUCAUCUUCAGUUACUAACAGGUUAUGCUGAGAACUCUGGAGAAACUGCCGUUGGAAAAGCGGAGGAAGGCGAGGAUGACGUCAAGUCCUCAUGGCCCUUAUGGGCUGGGCUACACACGUGCUACAAUGGUAAUUACAAUAGGUCGCGAAAAGGCAACUUUGAGCUAAUCUUCAAAAAUUAUCUUAGUUCCGAUUAUGGUCUGAAACUCGAGAGCAUGAAGUUGGAAUUGCUAGUAAUCGUGGAUCAGCAUGCCUUUGGGAUUCGCCCCC